This is a long non-coding RNA of Pollicipes pollicipes, 293 nucleotides long. RefSeq lists it as uncharacterized. The record is from RefSeq and is a predicted model, not a curated record. NCBI's taxonomy places the organism in Eukaryota, Metazoa, Arthropoda, Thecostraca, Pollicipedomorpha, Pollicipedidae. The transcript is spliced from 3 exons.
UCCUGUUGAGUCGUCUCUCACCAAACAUGCGUCUGCUACCAUUAAUCGUCGUGUUUUGUCUGGUGUUGGUGACCACUGAAGGUGGAAGGUGUCGCAAAUUCGGCAAGGCGUGUGGAAAAGGGAACGGGGAUGUGUGCCGCUGGUGUUGGAGGCCUCACAAGCGUCUCUGCUGUCUUCCGGGCGACACAUACAGUGACUGCGGGAGAAAAUGCAGUUUCCCAAAUACCUGCAGCACACUAAACGGCGAUUGUCACAAAGGAUGGUGCUGCGUAUACUGCAAAGGAAAACAUUGC